CCCUUAGAUGUUCGGGGCCGCACGCGCGCUACACUGAAGGAAUCAGCACGUCUUUCUCCUUGUCCGAAAGGACUGGGUAACCCGCUGAACCUCCUUCGUGCUAGGGAUUGGGGCUUGUAAUUCUUCCCCAUGAACGAGGAAUUCCCAGUAAGCGCGAGUCAUAAGCUCGCGUUGAUUACGUCCCUGCCCUUUGUACACACCGCCCGUCGCUACUACCGAUUGGAUGGUUUAGUGAGAUCCUCGGAUUGGUCCCGGAGCGGCCUCUGGUCGUGCCGGAGUGCCGAAAAGAAUGUCGAACUUUAUCAUCUAGAGGAAGUAAAAGUCGUAACA
Molecule: ribosomal RNA, 330 nt
Filed under: uncultured eukaryote
Lineage: Eukaryota
Description: partial 18S ribosomal RNA
Rfam family: Eukaryotic small subunit ribosomal RNA
Source: RNAcentral